UCCGACAAUAGCAAACCCGUAGCAAUAUGGGGACGCAAAGCCAUGGGUCCUGAUAAGGAUCGCCAGGCUGCCGAAG
This 76-nucleotide non-coding RNA is filed under the name Pelobacter sp. RNAcentral's name for it is "c-di-GMP sequence". It matches the Rfam family "c-di-GMP-I-GGC riboswitch aptamer". The record is from RNAcentral. RNAcentral also lists the same sequence under 1 other name. Lineage: Bacteria; Pseudomonadati; Thermodesulfobacteriota; Desulfuromonadia; Desulfuromonadales; Desulfuromonadaceae.